UGAUGAUGAUGAUGAUGAUGAUGAUGAUGAUGAUAAAGAGGAUGAUGAUAAUAAAGAGGAUGGUAUUUAUCGCCAUCAUCAUGGUAGGAAACAUCAUCAUAGGGG
This 105-nucleotide microRNA precursor is filed under the name Paramuricea clavata. Lineage: Eukaryota; Metazoa; Cnidaria; Anthozoa; Malacalcyonacea; Plexauridae. The record is from RNAcentral.